This 804-nucleotide ribosomal RNA is filed under the name Staphylococcus epidermidis. Its description in RNAcentral is "bacterial SSU rRNA". It matches the Rfam family "Bacterial small subunit ribosomal RNA", at positions 87 to 877 of the family's 1533-position model. The record is from RNAcentral. RNAcentral also lists the same sequence under 9 other names. Lineage: Bacteria; Bacillati; Bacillota; Bacilli; Caryophanales; Staphylococcaceae.
UGACGUUAGCGGCGGACGGGUGAGUAACACGUGGAUAACCUACCUAUAAGACUGGGAUAACUUCGGGAAACCGGAGCUAAUACCGGAUAAUAUAUUGAACCGCAUGGUUCAAUAGUGAAAGACGGUUUUGCUGUCACUUAUAGAUGGAUCCGCGCCGCAUUAGCUAGUUGGUAAGGUAACGGCUUACCAAGGCAACGAUGCGUAGCCGACCUGAGAGGGUGAUCGGCCACACUGGAACUGAGACACGGUCCAGACUCCUACGGGAGGCAGCAGUAGGGAAUCUUCCGCAAUGGGCGAAAGCCUGACGGAGCAACGCCGCGUGAGUGAUGAAGGUCUUCGGAUCGUAAAACUCUGUUAUUAGGGAAGAACAAAUGUGUAAGUAACUAUGCACGUCUUGACGGUACCUAAUCAGAAAGCCACGGCUAACUACGUGCCAGCAGCCGCGGUAAUACGUAGGUGGCAAGCGUUAUCCGGAAUUAUUGGGCGUAAAGCGCGCGUAGGCGGUUUUUUAAGUCUGAUGUGAAAGCCCACGGCUCAACCGUGGAGGGUCAUUGGAAACUGGAAAACUUGAGUGCAGAAGAGGAAAGUGGAAUUCCAUGUGUAGCGGUGAAAUGCGCAGAGAUAUGGAGGAACACCAGUGGCGAAGGCGACUUUCUGGUCUGUAACUGACGCUGAUGUGCGAAAGCGUGGGGAUCAAACAGGAUUAGAUACCCUGGUAGUCCACGCCGUAAACGAUGAGUGCUAAGUGUUAGGGGGUUUCCGCCCCUUAGUGCUGCAGCUAACGCAUUAAGCACUCCGCCUGGG